RNAcentral lists this non-coding RNA (23 nucleotides) under Arabidopsis thaliana (thale cress). The record is from RNAcentral. Lineage: Eukaryota; Viridiplantae; Streptophyta; Magnoliopsida; Brassicales; Brassicaceae.
UCGGUUGUUUUUGAAUAUUUGUG